AGCUCCAAUAGCGUAUAUUUAAGUUGUUGCAGUUAAAAAGCUCGUAGUUGGAUUUCGGGUGGGCCCUGCGGUCCGCCUUUUGGUGAGCACUGCAUGGGCCCACCUUGCUGUCGGGGACCGAUUACUGGACUUCAGUGCCCGGUGUCGGGAGUCGACGAGGUUACUUUGAGUAAAUUAGAGUGUUCAAAGCAGGCCUACGCUCUGAAUACAUUAGCAUGGAAUAACACGAUAGGACUCUGGCCUAUCUUGUUGGUCUGUGGGACCGGAGUAAUGAUUAAGAGGGACAGUCGGGGGCAUUCGUAUUUCAUUGUCAGAGGUGAAAUUCUUGGAUUUAUGAAAGACGAACUUCUGCGAAAGCAUUUGCCAAGGAUGUUUUCA
Molecule: ribosomal RNA, 378 nt
Filed under: uncultured eukaryote
Lineage: Eukaryota
Description: SSU rRNA
Rfam family: Eukaryotic small subunit ribosomal RNA
Source: RNAcentral